UAUGCUAGUUGUCGGGAUCUUUAGGUCUCGGUGACGCAGGGAAACCGCUAAGCAUACCGCCUGGGGAGUACGGUCGCAAGAUUAAAACUCAAAGGAAUUGACGGGGACCCGCACAAGCGGUGGAGCAUGUUGUUUAAUUCGAAGCAACGCGAAGAACCUUACCCACACUUGACAUCCUUCUUGGGGCUUUCAGAGAUGAUCGCUUUCGGUUCGGCCGGGGAAGAGACAGGUGCUGCAUGGCUGUCGUCAG
This 250-nucleotide ribosomal RNA is filed under the name uncultured bacterium. RNAcentral describes it as "partial 16S ribosomal RNA". It matches the Rfam family "Bacterial small subunit ribosomal RNA", at positions 812 to 1058 of the family's 1533-position model. The record is from RNAcentral.